AGUGAACGCUGGCGGUAGGCCUAACACAUGCAAGUCGAACGGCAGCACAGUAAGAGCUUGCUCUUACGGGUGGCGAGUGGCGGACGGGUGAGGAAUACAUCGGAAUCUACUUUUUCGUGGGGGAUAACGUAGGGAAACUUACGCUAAUACCGCAUACGACCUACGGGUGAAAGCAGGGGAUCUUCGGACCUUGCGCGAUUGAAUGAGCCGAUGUCGGAUUAGCUAGUUGGCGGGGUAAAGGCCCACCAAGGCGACGAUCCGUAGCUGGUCUGAGAGGAUGAUCAGCCACACUGGAACUGAGACACGGUCCAGACUCCGACAGGAGGCAGCAGUGGGGAAUAUUGGACGAUGGAGGCAAGCCUGAUCCAGCCAUACCGCGUGAGUGAAGAAGGACUUAGGGUUGUAAAGCCCUUUUGUUGGGAGAGAAAAGCAGCAGGUUAAUACCCCGCUGUUCUGACGGUACCCAAAGAAUAAGCACCGGCUAACUUCGUG
Molecule: ribosomal RNA, 492 nt
Filed under: uncultured bacterium
Lineage: Bacteria
Description: partial 16S ribosomal RNA
Rfam family: Bacterial small subunit ribosomal RNA
Source: RNAcentral